Gossypium arboreum is the source of this 106-nucleotide non-coding RNA. The record is from Rfam. Lineage: Eukaryota; Viridiplantae; Streptophyta; Magnoliopsida; Malvales; Malvaceae.
AUUCCAUGAUGAGGGCACUUUCGUAAUAACUCUUUGUAUCUUUCCUAUACCUCAUACAAGGACUCAUCAUCCAUUGUUAGAAGGCAGUGAUCUUGUGCCUCAACUU